This 74-nucleotide transfer RNA is filed under the name Pseudofrankia coriaricola. Its description in RNAcentral is "tRNA-Gln". It matches the Rfam family "tRNA". From Rfam's summary of the family: Transfer RNA (tRNA) molecules are approximately 80 nucleotides in length. Their secondary structure includes four short double-helical elements and three loops (D, anti-codon, and T loops). Lineage: Bacteria; Bacillati; Actinomycetota; Actinomycetes; Frankiales; Frankiaceae. The record is from RNAcentral.
UGAGGUGUCGGCCAAUGGCAGGCCGCCGGGCUCUGGACCCGGAAAUAUAGGUUCGAGUCCUCUCACCUCAGCCU